GGUUACUGCUAUCGGUGUUCGCCUAGCCAUGCGAGUCAUAUGUUCGUAAGAACAUGGCGUACUGCUCAGUAACACGUGGAUAACCUGCCCUUGGGUCCGGCAUAACCCCGGGAAACUGGGGAUAAUUCCGGAUAACGCACAUAUGCUGGAAUGCUUUAUGCGUAAAAUGGAUUCGUCUGCCCAAGGAUGGGUCUGCGGCCUAUCAGGUAGUAGUGGGUGUAAUGUACCUACUAGCCUACGACGGGUACGGGUUGUGAGAGCAAGAGCCCGGAGAUGGAUUCUGAGACAUGAAUCCAGGCCCUACGGGGCGCAGCAGGCGCGAAAACUUUACAAUGCGGGAAACCGUGAUAAGGGGACACCGAGUGCCAGCAUCCUAUGCUGGCUGUCCGGGUGUGUAAAAUACACCUGUUAGCAAGGGCCGGGCAAGACCGGUGCCAGCCGCCGCGGUAACACCGGCGGCCCGAGUGGUGAUCGUGAUUAUUGGGUCUAAAGGGUCCGUAGCCGGUUUGGUCAGUCCUCCGGGAAAUCUGACAGCUUAACUGUUAGGCUUUCGGAGGAUACUGCCAGACUUGGAACCGGGAGAGGUAAGAGGUACUACAGGGGUAGGAGUGAAAUCUUGUAAUCCCUGUGGGACCACCUGUGGCGAAGGCGUCUUACCAGAACGGGUUCGACGGUGAGGGGCGAAAGCUGGGGGCACGAACCGGAUUAGAUACCCGGGUAGUCCCAGCCGU
This 731-nucleotide ribosomal RNA is filed under the name uncultured archaeon. Its description in RNAcentral is "bacterial SSU rRNA". It matches the Rfam family "Archaeal small subunit ribosomal RNA", at positions 21 to 754 of the family's 1478-position model. The record is from RNAcentral.